RNAcentral lists this ribosomal RNA (823 nucleotides) under Salmonella enterica subsp. arizonae. RNAcentral describes it as "partial 23S ribosomal RNA". It matches the Rfam family "Bacterial large subunit ribosomal RNA", at positions 711 to 1448 of the family's 2925-position model. Lineage: Bacteria; Pseudomonadati; Pseudomonadota; Gammaproteobacteria; Enterobacterales; Enterobacteriaceae. The record is from RNAcentral.
AGACCCGAAACCCGGUGAUCUAGCCAUGGGCAGGUUGAAGGUUGGGUAACACUAACUGGAGGACCGAACCGACUAAUGUUGAAAAAUUAGCGGAUGACCUGUGGCUGGGGGUGAAAGGCCAAUCAAACCGGGAGAUAGCUGGUUCUCCCCGAAAGCUAUUUAGGUAGCGCCUCGUGAAUUCAUCUCCGGGGGUAGAGCACUGUUUCGGCCAGGGGGCCAUCCCGGCUUACCAACCCGAUGCAAACUGCGAAUACCGGAGAAUGUUAUCACGGGAGACACACGGCGGGUGCUAACGUCCGUCGUGAAGAGGGAAACAACCCAGACCGCCAGCUAAGGUCCCAAAGUCAUGGUUAAGUGGGAAACGAUGUGGGAAGGCCCAGACAGCCAGGAUGUUGGCUUAGAAGCAGCCAUCAUUUAAAGAAAGCGUAAUAGCUCACUGGUCGAGUCGGCCUGCGCGGAAGAUGUAACGGGGCUAAACCAUGCACCGAAGCUGCGGCAGCGAACGUAUCACUUAAAGCGAUUCAGCGGAUGACGAUUGACGGAGCGAAGCGACGUCAAAGCGUUUUACAACGUCGAGUCGGUUUAAGGAUACGUUCGUUGGGUAGGGGAGCGUUCUGUAAGCCUGCGAAGGUGUGUCGUGAGGCAUGCUGGAGGUAUCAGAAGUGCGAAUGCUGACAUAAGUAACGAUAAUGCGGGUGAAAAACCCGCACGCCGGAAGACCAAGGGUUCCUGUCCAACGUUAAUCGGGGCAGGGUGAGUCGACCCCUAAGGCGAGGCCGAAAGGCGUAGUCGAUGGGAAACAGGUUAAUAUUCCUGUACCUGG